AGAGUUUGAUCCUGGCUCAGGACAAACGCUGGCGGCGUGCUUAACACAUGCAAGUCGAACAGUCUUCCUUCGGGAAGAUAGUGGCGGACGGGUGAGUAACACGUAGAUAACCUGCCCUUAUGUGGGGAAUAACCCCUCGAAAGAGGAGCUAAUACCGCAUGAGUUCUCUGUUGUUAGACAGAGAAGAAACCUCGGUUUAUACCUGGGGCAUGAGGAGGGGUCUGCGGCGGAUUAGCUAGUUGGUGGAGGUAACGGCUCCCCAAGGCAACGAUCCGUAGCUGGUCUGAGAGGACGGCCAGCCACACUGGGACUGAGACACGGCCCAGACUCCUACGGGAGGCAGCAGUGAGGAAUAUUCCACAAUGGGCGAAAGCCUGAUGGAGCGACGCCGCGUGAGGGAUGAAGCUUUUCGGAGUGUAAACCUCUUUUACAGGGGAUGAAACGUGGGGGUAACCCCACUAAGACAGUACCCUGUGAAUAAGCAUCGGCUAACUACGUGCCAGCAGCCGCGGUAAUACGUAGGAUGCAAGCGUUGUCCGGAUUUACUGGGCGUAAAGCGCGCGCAGGCGGCAUACCAAGUAUUCAGUGAAAUCUCCCUGCUCAACGGGGAGGGUGCUGAGUAGACUGGUAAGCUAGAGGACGGUAGAGGGGGGUAGAAUUGCUGGUGUAGCGGUGAAAUGCGUAGAGAUCAGCAGGAAUACCCGUGGCGAAGGCGGNCCCCUGGGCCGUUUCUGACGCUGAGGCGCGAAGGCUAGGGGAGCGAACGGGAUUAGAUACCCCAGUAGUCC
RNAcentral lists this ribosomal RNA (788 nucleotides) under uncultured soil bacterium. RNAcentral describes it as "bacterial SSU rRNA". It matches the Rfam family "Bacterial small subunit ribosomal RNA", at positions 8 to 796 of the family's 1533-position model. The record is from RNAcentral.